AUUGAACGCUGGCGGAACGCUUUACACAUGCAAGUCGAACGGUAGAGGGGGCAACCCCUCGAGAGCGGCGAACGGGUGAGUAAUAUAUCGGAACGUGCCCAGUCGUGGGGGAUAACGUAGCGAAAGUUACGCUAAUACCGCAUACGAUCUAAGGAUGAAAGCGGGGGAUCGCAAGACCUCGCGCGAUUGGAGCGGCCGAUAUCAGAUUAGGUAGUUGGUGGAGUAAAGGCUCACCAAGCCAACGAUCUGUAGCUGGUCUGAGAGGACGACCAGCCACACUGGAACUGAGACACGGUCCAGACUCCUACGGGAGGCAGCAGUGGGGAAUUUUGGACAAUGGACGCAAGUCUGAUCCAGCCAUUCCGCGUGCAGGAUGAAGGCCCUCGGGUUGUAAACUGCUUUUGUACGGAACGAAAAGGUCUCUCUUAAUACGGGGGGCUCAUGACGGUACCGUAAGAAUAAGCACCGGCUAACUACGUGCCAGCCGCCGCAGUAA
RNAcentral lists this ribosomal RNA (496 nucleotides) under uncultured bacterium. Its description in RNAcentral is "partial 16S ribosomal RNA". It matches the Rfam family "Bacterial small subunit ribosomal RNA", at positions 30 to 523 of the family's 1533-position model. The record is from RNAcentral.